This is a long non-coding RNA of Hirundo rustica (Barn swallow), 2010 nucleotides long. RefSeq lists it as uncharacterized. The record is from RefSeq and is a predicted model, not a curated record. NCBI's taxonomy places the organism in Eukaryota, Metazoa, Chordata, Aves, Passeriformes, Hirundinidae. The transcript has 5 exons.
UGUGUUCUGUGGUUUACAAGCAGGGAAGUUGCUGUAGCACUCGCUAUGUGAGUUUUAGAACAACUAAAUAUUUGAUGAGUACUGUAGCGUGAGUUGUUCCAAUCCCCUUUGGGUAACCUGGGAGAGACAGAAGAAAAGGAUUUGUUGAGUUUAGUAGAAAGUGAUCUGCUGUAUGCUUGAAUCUUAUUGUUGCUUGUCUUGUAACAUGUGGGUUAGUUCUUGGUAUCUUUGAAGUUAAAGUUGUGUGAAUCUUUAUCAAUAUGCUGUUAAUUAAAAGUAAUUAAGGCAGGGGGUGUGGAUAAGAAAAGUUGUGAUUUUGUAUGUGAGCCUGUGAAUGACUUUUUCCAGAAGAAAAGGCAGAGAAGAUGCCAUGAGCGUGGUCUCCUAUCGAGAGGUGAUCAGAGAGGUUGUUGAUGAUCAAUAGCAGGCUUCAGAAGGGCACAGAAAUGGUCCUCAGAUCUCUUCCCCUGUUCUGUGUGGUUGGAGGUGUUUAAGUUGGAGACAUCAUGGGAAGAUGGAUUGUGAUCGUGUUUCUCUGCCUGAGUUUUCUUAUGUCACUACAGAGGAACCACAGCCAGGUGUGACCCCACCCAAAGGAGAAAUAAGUUUGGGGCUUGGAGGAAUCACAGCUCCUGUCCUUGUAAGCAGAGAGUCAGGUAGGUAUCAGCAGAGAAUGUGUGGCUGAGCAAAGGAACCAGAUUGAGUCUCUCUGUGUCUGCUGAGCACGAAAUUUGUGUGCUCUGAGAAAGAAGAAAUAAAAGAUGAUGUCCAGUUAGUCAAGCAGAUAGAAAGAAUUUCUUGCCAGAAGAUAGAACUAGGCUUAAGACUUUUGGUAAGAGUCUACAGCUAAAUGAGUGUUCUGGCACCUUUUGGGGUUAGAAUGGGGAGCCUUAUAGAAAGCCAUCACAGAAACAGAACUGAUAGUAACAGGGCAGUGAAUUGAGCACUUGGAAUCUAUCUACACUAUUGCUAAGUGUAUGGCAAUUAAAAAAAGCAUCCAAAGCCUUAGACCACAGCCAAAGUUGAGUUAUAAGAGGUAUUGUAGAAACUUGGCAGGCGGAUUCUGUGACUGCUAUAUCAGAAUAAAUUGCCAUGGAAGGGAGACAGGGAAACAAAGGAGUGAGAUUGCAGUAUGUGCCAAGAAUUUUAGACUUUCUCCAGAGUAGAAGAGAUGAGUAUCUAGUUUACUGGAUGCUUCUGGGAAAUAAAAGUAAAGAUCCAUUCUGAGGUCACAAAACCGAAUGGAGGAGUUAGAGCAGAAUCUGGUUUUAAGUAACUAUUAGAAGGACUUUAAAGGCAGGUCAUGGAGGAGUUUUUAAUAAAAAGUAUUACAGGAGAAAGCUAAUCAAAAUUUUGGAGUGUGCUGAGAAAAUUUAACUUAGAAAUGUGGAGAAGGCAGUAAAAGAAGAUGCUAUUUCUGGCUCUUAUUUGAAGAAGCUGACAAAGGAUCUGAACUUCACAGUCUGUGUAGAAAAGGGUUAGUGUGUCCAGGGAUUGUUGCUGAAGAACGUGGAAGACUGACUAAUUUGGGAAAGGUGUCACACCUGCUGGAUCAGAUUUAGAUGUCACAGAAACAGAAGAUGGGGACCUCCAGUGCCUCUGUGGAGAUUUUGUGGUCUUCACAGGGACCUGAGGACAUCAUGUGCUGCAUGAUCUACCUGCUGCUUGCUCAAAGACAAAAGGACAGAGCUAAACAACCUAAUAUUGAUGAUGUACAUAGGUCCAAUCCUCCCUACCAAAGACGAAGUACAUCUGGAUCUUUGGAAGAGGGCAAUUUUAAUGGGCUCCUUCCAGUUGCUACUGUGUUUGGUAGAUGAUCGUCCUGAGAGGCAGCAGGGGUUGGCAGGGCUUGGACAAAGGUUCUAUCUCUGCAGACAUCCUGUGGAGCAGAUUUAGUUGGAAGAACAUGAACCCACGACCCUCUGGACCUCGUGAUUGUCUCUGAGGUCCUAGUUCUCAUAGAUAUGGGAACAACUUUCCCCUACUUUAUUAAAGAAUGAUGUGUCCUUG